Caenorhabditis elegans is the source of this 137-nucleotide non-coding RNA. The record is from Ensembl. Lineage: Eukaryota; Metazoa; Nematoda; Chromadorea; Rhabditida; Rhabditidae.
AAGGGCAAUUAGUGCACACAGAAGGAAAAUGAAUUGAGGAGGAGGUGAUGGAAAAGAGAACACAUGGCGCAAAAAGCAAUGAGCAUGUGGGAUUAGGUGGGAAGAAUGCGCGGAAAUGUAUCGAACACGGUAAACAA